This 460-nucleotide ribosomal RNA is filed under the name uncultured bacterium. Its description in RNAcentral is "partial 16S ribosomal RNA". It matches the Rfam family "Bacterial small subunit ribosomal RNA", at positions 338 to 795 of the family's 1533-position model. The record is from RNAcentral.
CCUACGGGGGGCAGCAGUGAGGAAUAUUGGUCAAUGGACGAGAGUCUGAACCAGCCAAGUAGCGUGAAGGAUGACUGCCCUAUGGGUUGUAAACUUCUUUUAUAUGGGAAUAAAAUGUUCCACGUGUGGGAUUUUGUAUGUACCAUAUGAAUAAGGAUCGGCUAACUCCGGGCCAGCAGCCGCGGUAAUACGGAGGAUCCGAGCGUUAUCCGGAUUUAUUGGGUUUAAAGGGAGCGUAGGUGGAUUGUUAAGUCAGUUGUGAAAGUUUGCGGCUCAACCGUAAAAUUGCAGUUGAAACUGGCAGUCUUGAGUACAGUAGAGGUGGGCGGAAUUCGUGGUGUAGCGGUGAAAUGCUUAGAUAUCACGAAGAACUCCGAUUGCGAAGGCAGUUCACUGGACUGCAACUGACACUGAGGCUCGAAAGUGUGGGUAUCAAACAGGAUUAGAUACCCUAGUAGUC